AACGCAAAUUGCGCUCUCGGGAUAGGCCUGAGAGCACGCCUCUUUGAGUAUCGAUUCCACCACCUCCAGAACAAACUGAUUAUUUUGAUUGGUUUUGACACUGGGAAUUUGAGUGUUUUCAUGUCUCUUUAGUGAGAUGUGUCACUUGAAGCGGAAUGGAAUUGAGGGUCUGCGAAACUGCUGUUGAAUGUCAGUUUGCUGAAGUAAACUUUGAACAUGGAUAAAUUUCCAAUGAUCAAUAAUCUUUGGCUUAUCUGAUAUCAGCGAAUACUAAGUUUUGCAAACAAAAAGCCCUCUCCUAACUCAUAUCUUAACAAAUCUAAGAACUAGAUCUCAAAUGAAGCGAGACAACCCGCUGAACUUAA
RNAcentral lists this unclassified non-coding RNA (365 nucleotides) under uncultured fungus. RNAcentral describes it as "sequence contains ITS2". The record is from RNAcentral. Lineage: Eukaryota; Fungi.